UCCCUAGUAGCUUAGUUGGUAAAGAAUCUGCCUGCAUUGCAGGAGACCCAGGUUCGAUUCCUAGGUCUGGAA
Molecule: transfer RNA, 72 nt
Filed under: Ovis aries (sheep)
Lineage: Eukaryota; Metazoa; Chordata; Mammalia; Artiodactyla; Bovidae
Rfam family: tRNA
About the family: Transfer RNA (tRNA) molecules are approximately 80 nucleotides in length. Their secondary structure includes four short double-helical elements and three loops (D, anti-codon, and T loops).
Source: Rfam by way of RNAcentral